UUGGAGGAGGAUUGCUGGUAAUGGCCCUCAGCUCAGCUUCUCCUUUUCUUGCUGACAAGGAUCCCUCAGCUGAACAAUUGAACAGAGAAGAGGUGGGGGCUUCCAGUGACCCAGGGACUGUUUGGACCAGGCCACAGAUCUAAGAGACCUUCUCACACUGCAAACCUCUUUUCCUGUGUGCCACCGGGGAUGUGUACCUGGGGCUUGAGCCCCUGCCUGAGCUCUGGAUCAGAGAGAGCCUGCUCCUGCACCUUGUCUGAAAUGGAACAGGGGUGACAGAUGAGCAGAGGAUCAAUAGCCAUCUGUCCAGGCUCCACUGACAAGCUAAUCUUUUCAGUAAACAUUUCAUUAGCUCCUGCCAGUCUGCUGCACCUGCUGACAGGAGAGGCCAAACGGAGUAGGGGGAGGGGAACCUCCGCUUUAUGGUAGGGCUCCAAUGGCAGCAGGGGUCUCCUGGCCCCUGAGAGCUAGUUAAGCUCAGCUGGAAUACCCCUGCCACGCACUGGAGGAAUCCGGAUCAUCCCCAAGAUUUUUGUAUUUGAAGGGACUUUUAAAAUCAUUUAACCCAAG
This 570-nucleotide long non-coding RNA is filed under the name Homo sapiens (human). RNAcentral's name for it is "HSALNT0152977". The record is from RNAcentral. Lineage: Eukaryota; Metazoa; Chordata; Mammalia; Primates; Hominidae.